This 1649-nucleotide long non-coding RNA is filed under the name Pongo abelii (Sumatran orangutan). RNAcentral describes it as "lincRNA". Lineage: Eukaryota; Metazoa; Chordata; Mammalia; Primates; Hominidae. The record is from RNAcentral.
GAUGGUGCUAGCAUAUAUAAGACUGAAACACCAAAGGCCUCCGUGGAAGUUAAUGAACUUCUGGUUAUGAGUUGGAUUCUUCAGCGGAGUAUUUGAGCCAUGCAUACUUCAAGUUGCUGCAUCCAGUUUUAAACUCCAGAUUGGGCUUUACAUAUUAAACAUGCACAUUUGUUUUCACAUUUUUGAGCUUUGCCAGUGGCACCCUCUCUAAUUAAUCAUCCCACGGGCUUAGAAAACUUCUGCCCAAUCCUUUCUGAUUUGUUAAAAGAAAGAGAGGAGGUUUUAGUCUGAAAAAGGCCUUAUCUGAUAAACAUCACGUUAUAUGGAUUUUUACAUUUAAGUACAUUUUCUUUUUAAAUCCAAUGGCUUUCCCAAACUAGAAAGAUGGAGUGUUUGCAUACAUCCACCAACCACCAAUAUCAGCAGAAAGAAAGCUUGAUACAGUAAAGGAAAGAAAUGGCAAUUUAACAGUUCUUUUAUUUUCCAUUCAGAUCACAUACACAUUAACCAAAUGAAGCCUCACAGCAUGGAAUCUGAUAUCAUAGCAAUGUUUUCAGGAAGCAAUAAUUGAAUACUCCUCAUUAAAAAGGUUCAUAAAAGAAUCCUAUUAAAACCAAUAUGAAUAAUAAACCUUGAAAAUGCUGCUUUAAAUUCCAAGAGGAUGGUGAAGACCUGCAUCAGUAACAGUCUUCCUGUUCAUAGAGUGAUUUUGAAAAUCUCGUGGGCUGAAUUUUUCCAAGCCAAGCAGGCAUCUCACUAUGCAGUGAAAGACCCAGGGGCUAUUUUAAAUGCAUUCAAUCCAAGCCUGUGCCUUUCACAGUCAGUUUUCUCCGAGAAUUUGUCCCUAAUCCUGACAGGAUACCCAACUGAAAGGCUAAUUCUUUUUAAUCACUUAAUUAAUAGAUAAUUCUUACAAGGAGCCCAACACCUGAACCCACCAAGUCCUCUUUGCAUGGGCAAAUCCAGCUGGUUUGAUGCACUAAUUUCACUAAAUGAAAAUUUGGACAAAUUGUAUGUUAUUGCAAAUAAUGGUAAAUGUAUCCAAUUUAAAAAUAGUAACAAAAAAGUUGUUUUUUUGUUCCCUUUUUAAUCACAGAGGCAGCUGUGGUAGGCCCCAAAUGCACAGGGCAUAUGGCUCACCUCACCACCCCAGAUGGUGCUACUGGCCCAGCCUUCCCAGCGUCCACCCUGGCAGUCUUUCCUCAUUCCCUUGGCCUUCACCCCGUCUCCUCAGCCUUCCAGCUGCACUGCUAUUGUAGGCUGCUCUUUCUCAACAAUCUCCUCUUAUUUUCUGUGAUGUCUCAGGAUGUUUCUUCUUCUCAGGGGUUUUCCAAGCUUCUUCCACACUCAGAUGCUCAGACCUUUUUAUGGUCUGGCUUCUGAAGGAGAUCAAAAUUCAUAUGGACAGGCAUUUGUGUAUUAGCCAAGAGUUGCUAAUGCUUUUCUUGAUUAUAAGUCUCAGAGAAAUGGGAUGAAAGAUCUUAGAUUUUUAUACACUCUGGUUCAAUGGCUUCUCAGCUUUUCUGAUCCGAAAAGAAUUAAAGGACACCUUUUAGCUAAGCACUUUCUGUUUUAUUUCUUAUAAUGCCAUAUAGUGGCUGUUAUUGCGAACACAGUAGUCAUUUAAUAAACCCUGAAUGUCUGUAGCA